Molecule: long non-coding RNA, 2462 nt
Organism: Oncorhynchus tshawytscha (Chinook salmon)
Lineage: Eukaryota; Metazoa; Chordata; Actinopteri; Salmoniformes; Salmonidae
Source: Ensembl
AUAAUAAUAACACCACAGUAGCCGACGCUUUAUAAAUUGAAGUAGCCUGCGCACUGCUUACUCAAACUUGAAACACAUGAACAUUUGAGAGAACCUUGGCGCGCGAUUUGAUGACGUUGUCAACAAUAACACCGCAUCACCGGUCACUGCUAGAAUGGAUACGAUUUUGUAAAAGUGAUGUAACGGUCCCGUUUGUGCCAAUCGAGUUGCAACAGGUAUAGUAUUUUACUUGUCUACAAGAAGGCAGUCUGAACCAUUAUAAACAGGAGACAAGGACCACAUUUGUUGUAAACAAAAAUGAUAAACCGUCUGCACAGAAGGAUCUCGUAUCAUGAAAAAACUUGCAUUGGGAACUAAAAUAUGUUCCCCAUGACGGAACCCCCUUCCUGGUGGUCGGGAGGAAAACCUACGCCUGCCACCAGGGCGAGGAUAAACAUGCGAGUGAUAAGAAGAGGGAAGCAGAAAUGUGUCUGGACUGUGCCUACCUGAAGCCUACCUGGACUGUGGCUGAGGACCCUGGGCAUGCCUACCCAUAGCCCCUCCCCACACUCCCUAGCAUGCUUGUACCUAAGCUAAAUACUGAGUAUUCCAUCUCACCCUCUUCCUCUCCUCUUCUGUCCUCUCCUCCCCUAAGCCCAGUCCUGGGCACAAACUAUUUUAUAUUGAAUUUAUAUUGAGCAUGCUUUUUUGUCCAGGACUAGGUGUAAUCUGAGUCUGGGAAACCAGCCCAUACUCUAGACAAUGAGAUUAUUCCAGAAUACUAUCAAAAUAAAGAUUGUUUUCUAUGAUUGUUCUAUGGUACAUUUAACAUUUCCAUUCUACAAUAUGGCCUUUGACAAAGAAAACUCUCUCAAAAUCCUAUUGUAUUUUUUUAACCUUUAUUUAACUAGGCAAGUCAGUUAAGAACAAAUUCUUAUUUUCAAUGACAGCCUAGAAACAGUGGGUUAACUGCCUGUUCAGGGGCAGAACGACAGAUUUGUACCUUGUCAGCUCGGGGGUUUGCACUUGCAACCUUCCGGUUAUAAGUCCAACGCUCGAACCACUAGGCUACGCUGCCGCCCCGGUAUGGUUUGUCUCAGAACAGGAGGCGGUGGAGAAAAGCACAAAACCAAGAGGCUGAGAGAGAACAAGGUAAAACAAGGUAAGGAUAAUAUAUAAAAAAUGAACUUCAGUGGGAGUUAACACACAUACACACAUCUAAAUAUACAUAACACAUCCAAACAUACAAAACACCACUCUACAUAUAGCAGAUAAAACACAUUUAGCACUACACACUAACCAAUCAAACAAGGGUUAGGGUUGUAUCAACCAUUAUCAUAAUACUUACACCUAUGCAAAAAUCUCCAUAAGUGCAUAGGGGGUAGUUCUAACAUAUCCAUCCUCACACAAUUUGCUACUUAACAGGAGAGAGAAAGGCAAGAACAUUUAGGGGAGAGGAGUGGUGAGUCAAAAGAGGGGAGGGAAGAGAAUAGGGGUGGAUAGGGUACGACUUUUAAAGACUUCCAGUUAUUUGUCGUUUUUAAAGGGGGGGGAAAUAAAAAUGAAACUAAGCAGCCAGUGACUUUAUUAGCUUUUUUUUCUAUCUCGUGGAAGCAGGUAGCCUAGUGGUUAGAGCGUUGGGCCAGUAACCGAAAGGUUGCUGGAUUGAAUCCCUGAAAUGAUAAGGUAAAAAUCUGUUGUUCCGCUAUAAUGCAGUUAACCUACUCUUCCCCGCUAGGUCAAUCAUUGUAAUAAUAAUUUGUUCUUAACUGACUUGCCUAAUUAAAUUAAAAAGUCACAUUGCUAACAUUAUACUUAUUGCUAUUCCAUUACUUCAGUUCCAUUGCUAUAGUUUCUGUAGUCUGGUGGCCAGUUAGUAUAUGAAAAUAAAUAACUCGUAGAGCUGGGACACCACGUGGGUGCAAUAAUUGUGAACAAAAACAGCACUACUCAGAACCUCCAUACACGGAUCUCUAGCAGUUGUCCUCUUAAGUUCUACGAGGGCAACAUUACUAGCUGAUAGCAAAAUUCAUGUUUGUAUUUACAUCAUGUAAUGCUCAGUAGAAUUAUAUUUAUUGCCCAAUUGUAGCUAGCUUUUCCCCAGUGGUUCCGCUAGCCAGCAAGUGCGAAUGGAAAUCAAGUCCAGUCUGCUGUAGAACUCGACGCUGUGUGAGACGCAGUCUCGUUGUGGUGAACGGGACUAUGACAUCACUUUUACAAAAUUGGUAUCCCUUUUAACCCUGACCCAACUCAUCCACAGUUUUCCAUCAGCUAACUACUGUGUUUGACUGUUAUCCAAUUGGUCUUAUAAUUAGACAUUUGAUAUCGGCACCCUAUGUCAUUUAAUAUAAUUAACUAGCUACCAAGAAAAACUACCAAGGUUGCUCUUAAACGUUAGCUAAGUCUCUUUUUGCAUACCAUUUCAAGCUGGCUAGCUAAGUUACAUGAUUAAAUAACGCUAGUAACAUGCUGUACAAAACACC